Molecule: long non-coding RNA, 595 nt
Organism: Brachypodium distachyon (stiff brome)
Lineage: Eukaryota; Viridiplantae; Streptophyta; Magnoliopsida; Poales; Poaceae
Exons: 6
Source: RefSeq, a predicted model, not a curated record
CUUCCAUUUUGGUCAAGCUGGCAGAGAUUGUUUAGGACUAUGCAGUUCAGGCAAGAUCUGAAAAAGGUUUUGGGACAUGUGUGUUAUCACAUUUUGGCUGCUGGUCUGAAUGGUUACAUGGCUAGUGUGACAAAUGUUAAGAGUUCGUUGAACAAGUGGCGUUGUGGCGUUGCCCUUAUUUCGUCUAUGAUGACCGUGAAGCGAUGGUCACGUGGUCCUGCAAGCUCAGCAAUGGAUUGAUGACAAGUACACCAUUUUCAUCUCCGAGAUGGUGUCGAAUUUGUUGCUGAUGGAGGUACAGUUUGAUUAUCAUCAUCUGCUGAAGCUUUUUCUUCGUUCAUGAUUACAAAAAGUGUAGAUGAUGUCGAAUUGGUUGUUGAUGGAGGUGAUCCCAAUGGAUCACUAUUUAUCUGAAGAUCUGAAAUCAUAGAUGAUGCGGAGAUGGAAGUGGCCAAUAUUACCAGCAAGAUAAAGACAGGAGUUGGUUGGUCUCUUCUCUACAUCAGAUAUAUAGCAGGAGAUACUUGUUACGGCGAAGUGCUUUGGAAUUAUUUAUGGUAGACAGGUCAAAUUUCUUCUUUGAUUUCGGGGUAUG